CGCGGCCUAUCAGCUUGUUGGUGAGGUAAUGGCUCACCAAGGCGUCGACGGGUAGCCGGCCUGAGAGGGCGACCGGCCACACUGGGACUGAGACACGGCCCAGACUCCUACGGGAGGCAGCAGUGGGGAAUAUUGCACAAUGGGCGAAAGCCUGAUGCAGCGACGCCGCGUGAGGGAUGAAGGCCUUCGGGUUGUAAACCUCUUUCAGUAGGGAAGAAGCGAAAGUGACGGUACCUGCAGAAGAAGCGCCGGCUAACUACGUGCCAGCAGCCGCGGUAAUACGCAGGGCGCAAGCGUUGUCCGGAAUUAUUGGGCGUAAAGAGCUCGUAGGCGGUUUGUCGCGUCUGGUGUGAAAACUCAAGGCUCAACCUUGAGCUUGCAUCGGGUACGGGCAGACUAGAGUGUGGUAGGGGUGACUGGAAUUCCUGGUGUAGCGGUGGAAUGCGCAGAUAUCAGGAGGAACACCGAUGGCGAAGGCAGGUCACUGGGCCACUACUGACGCUGAGGAGCGAAAGCAUGGGGAGCGAACAGGAUUAGAUACCCUGGUAGUCCAUGCCGUAAACGUUGGGCACUAGGUGUGGGGCUCAUUCCACGAGUUCCGCGCCGCAGCUAACGCAUUAAGUGCCCCGCCUGGGGAGUACGG
Molecule: ribosomal RNA, 643 nt
Filed under: uncultured bacterium
Lineage: Bacteria
Description: bacterial SSU rRNA
Rfam family: Bacterial small subunit ribosomal RNA
Source: RNAcentral